AAAAGUUUUUAAUUAGGUAAUAAAUAUUUUCAUGUCGACUUCUGUACAAUCGUACUUCUUUCUGCAACCAGUGGAGUUACUCCCUGCUGGUCAUUAGAAAUAAUGCAAGUUUAAGGCACGAAAUAAAUUUAUGCCAUGCCUCCGGAAGUUUCCAAGUGACAGCAUGUAAAGGUUAAAAAGAGCAGGAGACCUAAAAAUCAACUUUGAUGAGCACAUCAAUUCAUAGCCUUUAGAUGAACCCAUCCAUGCUUACAGCAGAUAGGAAAGAAAAAUAAGAUUUGAACCAAUUAAAAACAGUUACGAGUUAAAUUUCUUAAUACAAAUCAGGUCUAUAACCAAGACAUUUGCAUAAUUAAAACUGCACUCAUAAAAGCACAGGUUGGCAAGACUUGAUGCUAUAGUAGCACUAUCUCAAUUAUGUUGCAUGACUUAAACCAGGUGUCAUUUUCUAAUCUGGCUUUUGUUUUUCUUUACAGAUCCAUAUGAACAACGCAUUACUGUCCCAGUGCUCAUUGUUGUCAUCACAGUUUUUUUCAUAACAAUGCUUACUGUAGUUCUUGCUGUAGUGUACUGUCGUCGAAAGAGACGAAAAUAUGAAAGAGAGAGCAGAGAAAAUACAGUCUAUGCAACUCCUCAGGUCGAAGAUGCAACCCGAGGUCUGAAUCAGAGGCCAACAGAUGAUUCUUCCGGUCUUUCUCCAACCUCCACCUACAGCUUGGUAGGGCCUCACACUGGACCCGAGGGAACCACUGAGAGAGGCAGGACUCUGCCACAGAGCGUGUAUGCUGAGGUACAAAGGGCCAGAUCCUGAAACAAUUUAUCAGGAAUCAGCAAUUUCCAGUUUUUAAGUGCUGCCUAAGCUGGUGACACAGCAAGCACCAACUCCCCACCAUCACAGCUUGUACAGUUUGUAUCACAGUUGACACACUGGGACCCAUAUAUUCUACUCUGGUACAGAAAGACUUUUUCCACCCACAAACAUUGCAAUACAAACGCUGUUCUUUUUAUUAUCACAAUUGGAGCCAUUAGGUCCCAUAUGAAUCUAAAUGUGAAGACACAUGAGUAGGGGUAAACCGGGGCGAAAGUAACAAGGCGAUUUUCUCAGAGCCCUGACUGCAUUUGCAGUCCAAGCUGUGACAGCACCUUCAGCACGCAACCCUUGAUGGAGCUGCCAAAUAUCGCAUUUUGUCUUCGGAAAACUGCUUUCGAGCACGUCAAGUAAAUUUCGGUAAUCUUUUUCGAUUUAGAAGUUGUGUCUCUCGUUUCAUGUGUCACAGUAAUGAUUAAUCUACAGAUUAUUUAGUGCUUUAACACACCCUGAAGUUUGCCAGAGUUUUUCAGUGUAGGAAUAAAUCGUGUUGAUAUGUCAAGAGUUCCUGUCAGGAUGAAAGUAACACUUGUUACUUUAGCCGAAAGUGUUACUUUCAUCCCGCUACAGUGACCACAAGUGUUUCUUUUGUCCAGCUGCUAAUGUGGUGACUUUCUCUGUGUUGCAGCAUGUAUUGAAACAUGUUUAUGUUAUAUUAUACCAACAGAUUAUGCCAAGAGUGAGGGUCAGAAAGACGGAUAGAGGUCUGAUUCGGCCAGAUGUUUUUAUGCACAUUUUGGAAUUAUGUAUAAAAACAGCUGGAUAGAAACUUGACUAUUUUUGCCUUAUUUUGAGAAUUUAUAUUUAUGUUAUUAAUAUUCAUUUUCAUAUUGUUGAAGAAAUGUUUUAUAAAAUGGAUAGACAUUGCCAAUAAAAACCUUUUCAACAAGUAUAGGGUGGGUUACUUUUGAAACAUUUGAAGAAACUGUAAAUACAUAAUAAAUGAAAAAAUUAAAAUGUAAUUUAUAAAUUUUUUGCAAAGAUAAAGGACAAAAUACAUUUGCAGUUACAUAUUUACAAGGUCAUAGUCACGUAUAUUUAAUAAAAACAAGGGAAACACAAAUCUAGUUGUGUAACUUUUAACCCUCCUGUAGGUUACUUUUGACUCUCCUUACUUUCGACAGUCCUGUGUGUUACUUUUGAUCCAACUGACUUCUGUUUAAAGUGAAAUUAUACGCAAGUCGUUCUACAUUUGUACAAAAUACCACCAUGUGCCCUGGUGAGCAAACUUUACUAUGAAUGAGACACCAUCCUGGAACACUGUAUACAAUUCUAGUUUGCAUGUAUGGUAAGUACACCAAUGAGCAUGUCCAAUUAAAUGCACACCACUUGCAACCGUAGUAGUAGUAGUUUUGAAGCAUGUGUGUAUGUAUGUAUAUUAUUUAACUUAAUAGCAUUACCCCAACAGACACUGUUAUUGCUUCGCUGCGGCAGGCGCCCCUUAUUUUUCUGUAUUGAAGGUGGCAACCCUAAUCAUUAUUGAGACAGUUUGAUGAUCUUUAUUGAUACCACUAUCGAUACUUUUCUAUUACUUGUUAGAAAAACGAGACCCAAGGGCAGUCGGAGAUAACGAUAUUCUGACUUGAAGACAGACAGAGGUGCUUUUAAGAAAUUAACUUGGAACAUAAGUGGCAUCCUUAUCUUUGGCUUUAGUGAAAUUAAGUCAAGCCUUUGACCACUUUGCAAAUUCAGCCAUCCUAGCAAGCAACCAAUUCCCCAAAUGAGAAAUGAAGCGAACAAGGGUGUGAGGUAGGCCUGCAUGAUAUGAGGAAAAUCUGCAAUGUACAAUAAUGUUGUUGAGAUAACAAUAUGACUUGCCAUAAAUAAACAGAUAAUGAAGUGUG
Long non-coding RNA from Micropterus salmoides (largemouth bass), 2712 nucleotides. RefSeq lists it as uncharacterized. The record is from RefSeq and is a predicted model, not a curated record. The transcript has 3 exons. Lineage: Eukaryota; Metazoa; Chordata; Actinopteri; Centrarchiformes; Centrarchidae.